GCGCUCUAAGACUAUGCAUAUUUGGGCAUAGUUUGGGAAAGCCUCAGAAGAAAAAGAAACACGCAUUCCAAAGAAAGGUAAAAAGGUAAAUGUAUGGAAAUACUUUGCUUGGAACUCACGACUUUGUAUUCGGGACCCACGCCUUUUUACCCACAACCCACGCCUUUUUACCCACGACCCACGCCUUUUUACCCACGACCCACGCCUUUUUACCCACGCCUUUUUACCCACGACCCACGCCUUUUUACCCACGACCCACGCCUUUUUACCCACGACCCACGACAUUCUACCCACGACCCACGACUGUUAGCUAGUCCCCAUAAUAAAAGUGUACUCUUGAGGCUGAAAUUAAGUUUCUUUCGCAUGAACAAAACGGUCGGUCAUGUUUAUUAAUUUUCGCCGUGGAAAAGAUGUUUUUGAAAAUGCAUGCCUAAAGGCUAAACGAAAGCA
Non-coding RNA from Paramuricea clavata, 450 nucleotides. The record is from the annotation of a GenBank genome assembly. Lineage: Eukaryota; Metazoa; Cnidaria; Anthozoa; Malacalcyonacea; Plexauridae.